This is an RNA transcript of Vespula pensylvanica (western yellowjacket), 5980 nucleotides long. It is a transcript of the gene named kinesin heavy chain, with no coding region annotated. The record is from RefSeq and is a predicted model, not a curated record. Lineage: Eukaryota; Metazoa; Arthropoda; Insecta; Hymenoptera; Vespidae. The transcript is spliced from 15 exons.
GAUCGUAGUAGGUGAAAAUACUUAUUCCGGUAGGUUCGUGAAGAAAUCAGCGCGAAACGAUAUUAUGUUCCGCUAUAUAUCAAGGAUGUAAGUAGGUCUCGCGGAAAAUACAUCCGACGAAGCAUCAAGGUGCACGUAAUCCUUUUUUCGAACGGCAAUAAAACUAUUCUUUGUCGCGUGUAGAAUUAUUUUAUAUCGGCCGAGCAGUCGCCAUCUUGCCUUACUGGGCGGGCAGAGAAAGAAAGACAGAAAGAAAGAAAGAAAAAGAAAGAAAGAGAGAACGGGCCGUGGCUGUGGUAUAGAUCGUCAUUGUGACAGCUUGGGAAAAGAAGCGUUCGAUAGACGGUCGGUCUUGAUGCGGUGCGCGCGUUCAUCGCGUCGCUUGUGCUCUCUACGAACGUAGGGAGAACGUAUCAUUUAUAGAAGAGAGUAACGAGCCCAAAUAUUGGAAAACAAGAGGAAGACUCUUUGAAAAGUGUGAAAUCUAAGAAGGUGGCAUAGAACGUACUGAAGGUAAUGGCAAUGGAGACGCCGAGAGAACGAGAGAUAGCCGCGGAGGAUAGUAUUAAGGUAGUCUGCAGGUUUCGACCGUUGAAUGACUCUGAGGAAAAGGCUGGCUCAAAGUUUAUUGUCAAGUUCCCAUCCGGUGGAGAGGAGAAUUGUAUCUCGAUUGGGGGAAAAGUAUAUCUUUUUGAUAAAGUAUUUAAACCAAAUGCUACACAAGACAAAGUAUACAAUGAAGCAGCUAAAUCUAUUGUCACAGAUGUAUUGGCAGGAUAUAACGGUACCAUUUUUGCUUAUGGACAAACAUCAUCAGGAAAAACCCAUACAAUGGAAGGUGUUAUUGGAGAUCCUAAUAAACAGGGUAUCAUUCCAAGGAUCGUUAAUGAUAUUUUCAAUCAUAUUUACAUUAUGGAGGAGAAUUUAGAGUUCCAUAUUAAAGUAUCUUAUUUUGAAAUUUACAUGGACAAGAUUAGAGAUCUUCUUGAUGUCUCUAAGGUAAACUUAAGUGUGCAUGAAGAUAAAAAUCGAGUUCCGUUUGUGAAAGGAGCAACUGAAAGAUUUGUAUCUAGUCCGGAAGAAGUUUUUGAAGUAAUCGAGGAAGGAAAGUCUAAUCGGCAUAUCGCUGUAACCAAUAUGAAUGAACACAGUUCUCGUUCUCAUUCAGUUUUCUUAAUUAAUGUCAAACAAGAAAAUCUUGAGAAUCAAAAAAAACUUUCAGGAAAAUUAUAUCUCGUUGAUCUGGCUGGUUCAGAAAAGGUGUCUAAAACUGGAGCUGAAGGUACUGUUCUUGAUGAGGCUAAAAAUAUUAACAAGUCUCUAUCUGCUCUUGGUAACGUUAUAUCUGCGCUUGCCGAUGGCAACAAAACGCACAUUCCUUAUCGUGACUCUAAACUGACAAGAAUUUUGCAAGAAUCACUUGGUGGCAAUGCUCGAACUACAAUUAUCAUUUGUUGUUCACCUGCUAGUUUUAACGAAUCAGAGACUAAGUCAACUCUAGAUUUCGGUAAACGUGCCAAAACUAUAAAGAAUGUUGUGUGUGUCAAUGAAGAAUUAACUGCAGAAGAAUGGAAACGCCGUUAUGAACGUGAGAAGGAAAAGGCUGCUAGACUUAAAGGCAAAGUUGAAAAAUUAGAAGCAGAAUUGUCUCGUUGGCGUCAAGGUGAGACUGUAAAACCCGAAGAACAAGUCAGUUUAGUGGAAGGACCUGAUGUUAUUACACCAAUUACUGCAUCUGUCGAAGGCAAACUUGACGACGGUCCUCUGCCUGCUACACCUGGUGGUGGACUUAUGGCUGGAUCUCUUUCGAAUGAAGAAAGACAAAAACUAGAGGAAGAACGUGAAAGACUGUAUCAACAGUUGGAUGACAAGGACGAAGAGAUUAAUCAACAAUCUCAAUAUGUUGAAAAGUUAAAGGAACAAAUGGAAGAACAAGAGGAAUUGAUUGCAAGCGCUAGAAGGGAUUAUGAACAAUUGCAGCAAGAAAUGAAUAGAAUACAACAGGAAAAUGAAAGUGCUAAAGAGGAAGUCAAAGAAGUUUUACAAGCUCUGGAAGAAUUGGCAGUGAAUUAUGAUCAAAAAUCACAAGAGGUGGAAUUGAAAAAUAAACAGCAUGAAAGAUUGACAGAAGAACUUCUCGCUAAACAAGCAACAUUAAAUAAUAUUGAAUCUGAAUUGCAACAAUUGCGUGAUAUGUCUGCUCAUCAAAGAAAACGUAUUGCUGAUAUGUUUGCUAAUUUUUUGAAAGAUUUAGGAGAAAUUGGAGUGGCUAUAGGUGGUGAUGAAAAUCUUAAAGUUACACCAGAAAGUAAUGGUAAAUUGGAAGAAGAAUUCACAGUUGCAAGACUCUUCAUUAGUAAAAUGAAAUCAGAGGUAAAAAAUUUAGUUCAACGUUGUCAAGGAUUAGAGAGUUCUCAAGUGGAUUGCAACAAAAAAGUUUCUGAAUAUGAAAAAGAUUUGGCAGAAUGUCGGCUCCUAAUCAGUCAACAUGAAGCUCGUACACAAACAUUAUCAGAAUCUAUGAAAGAAGCAGAAGCUCGAAAACGUGCUUUGGAAGAAGAUGUAGAUGCGCUACGGGAAGAAUGUGCAAAGCUUAAAGCAGCAGAACAAGUUCAAGCGGUUACUAAUAAAGAGAAAGCAGAAGAGAAAGAAGCAGCUACAAAGAUGAAAGUAGCUUUAGAAGAGCAAAUGGAUCAGCUGCGUGAUGUACACCAAAAGCAGGUCGCUGCGCUUAGGGAUGAAUUAUCUGAAAAACAAGAUUUGAUCAGUGAAUUGAGAGAUUUGAAUCAAAAAUUCACUUUAGCCCAUCAACGAAUGCAAGCGGAUUAUGAACGAUUGAAGCAGGAAGAAGUAAAUAAAUCGGUUAAACUCCAAGAAAUGAUAUUGCUUCAUGAACGCCGAGAACAAGCUAGAAAAGAGCUUAAAGGACUGGAGGAUACUGUUUGCAAAGAAUUGCAAACACUUCACAAUUUACGUAAAUUAUUCGUUCAGGACUUGCAGACUAGGAUAAAAAAAUCAAUUCACGUUGAGGACAAUGAGGACGAUGGUGGCUCACUUGCUCAGAAGCAAAAGAUUUCCUUUUUAGAAAAUAAUCUAGAUCAGCUUACGAAGGUUCACAAACAAUUAGUCAGAGAUAAUGCGGAUCUUCGAUGUGAAUUACCUAAACUUGAAAAAAAAUUAAGGACAACCGUUGAACGUGUAAAAGCUUUGGAAACAGCUUUGCGAGAUGCCAAAGAAGGUGCAAUGCGAGAUCGUAAGCGUUACCAAUAUGAAGUAGAUAGGAUUAAAGAAGCUGUCAGACAGAAAAAUUUGGCUCGUCGUGGACCUAGUGCACAAAUUGCAAAGCCUAUUCGAGCUGGUCAGCAUCAUUUAAGCAAUGUUAACGCUAUUAGAACCGGCAAUCGUGAUGCUCUUAAUUAAGAUACUACAUUAUGAUUGGGAAAUCGUGGGUUUGUUCGAUUUUGUACAAAAGGAGUCACUUCAGGCCGCUCUACAUUUUAGAAACACGAUCGCAAGAACGCUUUGCGUGCUGAGGUGCUAGGAGAUCGAAACAAACCAAUCUAUGGUGUAUUCAUAUAAAUGUUAUAUUUUAAAGGCAAUAGAUGUAUUAUAAUCUUAAAAAGCACCGUCACUUCUUUUUUUGUAGAAACAAGCAUGUGCUUAAAAGUAUACUAAUAUGAGUGCAUCAAUUUAUCAAUGCGCUGCAUGUCCCAUCCAUAUAUAAAUAUUUAACUCAAUUGCACUUAUAAAAAAGGAAAUUACCAUAAAUAUUCUCAAUUCUUUCUCAAUUAUAUGAAACAAUCUUGCUAAAAUAGCUUUGUUCUUCUGUAACUACAUAGCAUAAUUUUUUUCAAAAAGUUAAAAAUAUAUAAAAAUAAUAAUAAUGAUAAUGAUAAUGAUAGUAAAGAUAAUGGUAAUAAUAAUGAUAAUGAUAAUAAUAACAACAAUAAUAAUACUAUGCGAUUGUUAUUGUUAUAACAUCCGGUCUACCAUGGACUUUAUUUGUAAUAUCAAGUAUCAUUAAACUUAUGAUAAAUACAUUCAAAAUCGAAUGUUUUGGAUGGUACUAUUAGACUUGGAAACAAAAUGUUACUAAUUCAGUUAAGAGAUAUGAUCGGAUAUGCGGCCUUGAAAAGAACAGUAGAAAUAAUCAUGGCUUAUAAGUAUUCUUAAUUAUAAAAAAAAACUUCCUUUGUAGCUAUUGAAGAUUACAAUUGUCAAGAAUCUUAUCGAAUCUUGGAUCUAUUUGGUGUACCCACUUAACGAUAGUUAAGUACGUUGGUUUCUUACCAAUAAAAUUGUAGGUCCAAAAGCGAAUGAUAUUUAUAAAAAAAAAUAUAAACGAAAAGAUCUUUCAUCUUCACUUUCAAUUUACAUAUAUUAUUUUUAUAUAGCCAAUUAUCGCAGCAUUAAACAUUGCUAAGUGUUCCACUUAUAUUAAUUUAUUUUGUAUUCUAAUUUAUAUUAAAGACAAAUGAAAGCUGUUCGUCGAACAAUUGCUUUGCGUUCUGUGCAAAUAUAUUAAAUACUUAUCAUUUUUAAAGUCUUUCGUGCUGAAUCUAAUUUUGAAGUUACCAGUUUUAGAUAAUUUGGAUUUUAAUAAUAAGAUCUGUUUACGUUCUUAAAACUCGUUGUAAACUCUCAAAAUUACAAUCAUAUCUCACUUAAAAUUAUUUUAAUGUUAGGAAUAGACUAUUUGAAUAAUAUUUUUUAUAAUUGGGAUACAUAUAUGAAUAUUGAAGCCAUGUAUAGUAAAUAUAGUUUGCAAAUUUUGCAUAUCCUUAAAUUGAAAAUAAAUUUUUUCUUUUUCUUCUCUCUUUUUCUAUUAAAUGUAAUACAGUAUACUUUAUGAAAUUAUCCAUAAAUUAUUGUUCCAUAUCAAGAAACUUUUAUUAGAUAAAAUGAAUUUAUUUUUUUAUUUUAUUUUAAAAAUUUCUUUCAUGUAAUAGUCUGUUUCAUUAGGUCUAUCUUAUUUUUGUGAUAUGAGCAGCAAAAUUAUAUUUGUCAACAUAGUAAAGACAAAUUUGGAAUGUAGAAUAAAUGCAAUUAUUUUAAAAAUAUUCUUGUCAAAUAUAUAUAAAUAUAACUGCACUUGAAUGUCUUUAUAUUAAUUUAAAUAAACAUAUUAUUAUCCAUGGUACAUUGCUCACAAAUAACAUAGGUAUACAUUAAUCACCCGAAAUGCUUAAUGUGUUAAUAAUCUGUUAUUUAAAAUCUACAAAAAAUGCUGUUAGGUUCCCCUCAUUAUUAUAAAUAAAAAAAAUCACUGCUGAGUUUUUUUUAUCAUGAUUCAUGUAUUUUUCUGUAACUAAUGAAUCAUGACAUAAAAUCUCAGUAUACCGUAACAUUUAUUUUUAUAGAACAUCGAAUAAGCAUCAAUGCUCUUUUGCACUUCCGUAUAGAAAUAAAGAAUCAUUGCAAAGUGUACACAGAUUAUAAUUAAUUAAUACUAAUAAUCGUAAGCUUCAUGGCACUGCAUUCAAAAUGCAAUGGAUGUAUGUUCCAAUGAGAUGUAAAGGGUAUAGCAUCGUAAAUUAUAAAAUAAUUCCUAUAAAAGGAUGACUGAAAGUGUAUCUAUUUUCUUUUAAUGUAGCCAAAAUACACAUUUUUCAGACUAAGGAAAAUCAUGAUUGCUCACAUUACUAUACGUUAUAUAUUCUACAAUGUUAUAUCUCUUAUUAAGAUAGAAUGUUUUUGCAUUCUUUUUUAUUCUUUUGCAAUGCACAAUGUAAUUAUAUAUUUAAUGAACUACAUUUUUAAAAAAUUAAAUAAUUUUGAUCUAUGAUUUAUAAAAAUAUAUACUAUUGAAUGUGAUUGAAAAUUAAUUUAAAUUAUCUAAAUAAACAGUCUAUAACUGGAAUGAGCACCCAUAUAGCUGUAUUCAAAUAUUGUUAUUUAUUAGAAACUGAGUGUUAUAUAAUAUUGCAUUUACAGGUAAAGACAUUUUGGUUCUAUAAGAAAUAACAAAAAUAUUGCUAUA